AUUCAUGUUAUAGUUAUUAGCGCAUAUUAGAAUUGUCUUAUUUUGUUAUAUCUUUACUAUUAGUUUCUUAUUCUGCCUGAUUCAUAAAUUAAACUUUAUCAAGGUACACAUGCAGGAGAUAAAGGGUGUUACACCUUCAAGUCCUGUAACAUAUUCUCCAAGGAUAAGGGAUGCUGUGGUGCAGCUUAGCAUUUCAUCACUGUUUCCUGGCAGACUCCAUGCAACAAGAGCUGCAGUGGGCAAGUGAACUCCCCGGAAACAGUCCACCAUCUUGCUCAACUGUGAUGGGUGCACUCUGUUUGGGGAUCUAUUCAUAAUUCUACUAUGUAUCCUGAGCUUUUUUUCCCCCGCCGGCAAGAACACACUCAGGACAACGGAAUCUUCUGCGGCAAAAGCUUUAUUGCUUACUUCUCAGGAGGAAGACCUCGAAUACAGGAAACUCAGUCCUUUUACAACCCACAAAGAGCGGUUGGAGACGUGUCAGCUCCUGAUUAGCUGCUCACCAUUAGCCCAGGUGACGUCACGGGACAGGCAGGGCACAAGGCAUGAAAAAAUACCCCAGCACAUGCGCAGACUACUUGUUUACUAGUUAGAACACUGGAUAUCAGCGCCAUCUUGUAAUGGCGAUUGCAAGGGCGGCUCCUCACAACUAUGAAUGUUCAAGUAGUGUGCAUGGGAUGUAUUUGAGUUUCUCAUAGGUGGCCAUCUGUGGAUAAAAUGGUUUCCACACACCAGGUGAAAUACAAACACCAACUGGUUGUAUCUAUCAUCUUCAAUAUCCAUGUGUGGGAAUUGCAUCACACAAACAACAACAAAAUCACACAAAUAAAAAAAUAAUAUUUCA
RNAcentral lists this long non-coding RNA (844 nucleotides) under Mus musculus (house mouse). RNAcentral's name for it is "predicted gene, 31026 (Gm31026)". Lineage: Eukaryota; Metazoa; Chordata; Mammalia; Rodentia; Muridae. The record is from RNAcentral.